RNAcentral lists this ribosomal RNA (403 nucleotides) under uncultured Acetobacterium sp. Its description in RNAcentral is "bacterial SSU rRNA". It matches the Rfam family "Bacterial small subunit ribosomal RNA", at positions 356 to 774 of the family's 1533-position model. Lineage: Bacteria; Bacillati; Bacillota; Clostridia; Eubacteriales; Eubacteriaceae. The record is from RNAcentral.
UGGUAAUAUUGUGCAAUCACCGAAACCCUGACGCAGCAAUACGGCGUGAUUGCAGAAGGUUUGCGGAUCGUAAAGCUCUGUUAUCGGGGAAGAAAAACAGAAGGUGCCCAAGAAUAAAUCUCCAUCUACGUACGUACCAGCAGCCGCGGUAAUACGUAGGGGACAAGCGUUGUCCGGAUUUACUGGGCGUAAAGGGCACGCAGGCGGUUUUUUAAGUCAGAUGUGAAAGGUACCGGCUCAACCGGUGACAUGCAUUUGAAACUGAAAGACUUGAGUAUUGGAGAGGCAAGUGGAAUUCCUAGUGUAGCGGUGAAAUGCGUAGAUAUUAGGAGGAACACCGGUGGCGAAGGCGGCUUGCUGGACAAAUACUGACGCUGAGGUGCGAAAGCGUGGGGAGCAAACA